UCGGAUCGCAGGCUGCAACCCGCCUGCGUGAAGUCGGAAUCGCUAGUAAUCGCGGAUCAGCAUGCCGCGGUGAAUACGUUCCCGGGCCUUGUACACACCGCCCGUCACACCAUGAGAGUCGGGAACACCCGAAGUCCGUAGCCUAACCGCAAGGAGGGCGCGGCCGAAGGUGGGUUCGAUAAUUGGGGUGAAGUCGUAACAAGGUAUC
This 208-nucleotide ribosomal RNA is filed under the name uncultured bacterium. RNAcentral's name for it is "partial 16S ribosomal RNA". It matches the Rfam family "Bacterial small subunit ribosomal RNA", at positions 1293 to 1500 of the family's 1533-position model. The record is from RNAcentral.